RNAcentral lists this non-coding RNA (30 nucleotides) under Rattus norvegicus (Norway rat). Lineage: Eukaryota; Metazoa; Chordata; Mammalia; Rodentia; Muridae. The record is from RNAcentral.
UGCCUUAGUUGCCUCUAUAUCGUUUGGUCC